Molecule: ribosomal RNA, 1262 nt
Filed under: Phytophthora megakarya
Lineage: Eukaryota; Oomycota; Peronosporomycetes; Peronosporales; Peronosporaceae
Description: eukaryotic LSU rRNA
Rfam family: Eukaryotic large subunit ribosomal RNA
Source: RNAcentral
CUAACAAGGAUUCCCCUAGUAACGGCGAGUGAAGCGGGAAGAGCUCAAGCUUAAAAUCUCCGUGUAAGUUUUGCACGGCGAAUUGUAGUCUAUAGAGGCGUGGUCAGCGUGGGCGCUUGGGGCAAGUUCCUUGGAAGAGGACAGCAUGGAGGGUGAUACUCCCGUUCAUCCCUGAGUUGCUCGUGCGUACGGCCCGUUUUCUUUGAGUCGCGUUGUUUGGGAAUGCAGCGCAAAGUAGGUGGUAAAUUCCAUCUAAAGCUAAAUAUUGGUGCGAGACCGAUAGCGAACAAGUACCGUGAGGGAAAGAUGAAAAGAACUUUGAAAAGAGAGUUAAAGAGUACCUGAAACUGCUGAAAGGGAACCGAAUCGUUUCCAGUGUCUAUAAUCUGUGGCAUAUUUCAUUGGCGAGUGUGUGCGUGCGUGUACUGUGGCAGUGGCUUUUUUGGCUGCGCUCGGUGUGUGUGCUGUGUGUGCUUGCUGGUGCCCUGUGCUGCGGUGGGACGUCAAGGUCAGUUCGUAUGCUGCGGGAAAUGGCUGCCGAGGAGGUAGGGCUUACGCUUGCGUUUGUCUGUUAUAUCUUGGUGGACGAGUAGUCGCGGUUGGGACUGAGGUGCCUACAACGUGCUUUUGAGUGUGUUUGUGUCUCCGUGUGCGCCGUGUGCGGAUAGCUUGCUAUGCGUGUGUGGUUGUGUGUGGAUUGAUGCGGACUUUAACUUGUUGCCGUUCGGGACGUUGACGAAAUGGAGCGAUCCGACCCGUCUUGAAACACGGACCAAGGAGUCUAACAUGUGUGCAAGUGUUAGGGUGUGGAAACCCCAGCGCGAAAUGAAAGUGAAGGGCAGCGUUAGCUGUCUGAGGUAGGAAACGUUGUGGGCUUCGGUCUGCGGCGUGGCACUAUCGACCGAUCAUGAACCUUCGUGGUGAAAGAUUUGAGUUUGAGCACAUAUGUUGGUACCCGAAAGAUGGUGAACUAUGCCUGAGUAGGGUGAAGCCAGGGGAAACUCUGGUGGAAGCUCGUAGCGAUUCUGACGUGCAAAUCGAUCGUCAAACUUGGGUAUAGGGGCGAAAGACUAAUCGAACCAUCUAGUAGCUGGUUCCCUCCGAAAUUUCCCUCAGGAUAGCAGCAACUUAUUUACGAUAGUUUUAUGAGGUAAAGCGAAUGAUUAGAGGAUUCGGGGAAGAAACUUCCUCGACCUAUUCUCAAACUUUAAAUCUGUAAGACCUGCAGGUUUCUUAAUUGAACUUGUGGAUGUGAAUAUCAA